Macadamia integrifolia is the source of this 1019-nucleotide long non-coding RNA. RefSeq lists it as uncharacterized. Lineage: Eukaryota; Viridiplantae; Streptophyta; Magnoliopsida; Proteales; Proteaceae. The transcript is spliced from 2 exons. The record is from RefSeq and is a predicted model, not a curated record.
UCUAAGCAAAAAAAUAGUUUAAACUCCACACUAUCAAAUCUCCAACACCGAAUCAAAUAUUUUCAAAACAAAAUCAAAUCAUUCAAGUAAACAUCUUACCCCCAACUCCCCAAGUAGUUCUUUCGGCCUGAAACCAUUGGAAAAUUCAUCCCCAAAUCGUCAUAUCUUGUCUAUUAUUCAGUUCUAAAAUUCGAUUCAGGUUGGUAUUCUAUAUUUCUAGGUCCCAAGAACUUUCUUUAUCGAUUUUGUACGGUACAGUAAGGGGCAGAGUAAUAAUCACUGUGACUAAUUGAACCCUGCUCCCACUCCACUGCAAACAGUGAUGGGAUAAGAGCCAGCAUCGAGUCCGUUGACUUUCAGCGUUUCAAGAUGUUAAUGUUUCCUCCAUCACUGCAACUCCAAUGGAUGCUCUCAAGUAUCUAAAGCCACUAGCAGGGAAGAUGUUUCCUGAUGCCUCUACUUCUUCAGAUGCAACUACGCAUUCUGUUUGGGAUACUGAAUUCAGUGAUGAAUGAGUGGUGAGAUUAUCACUGUGACAUGAUAUUCUACGCUGGUUGUAUCUUACUCCAUCUCAAUCUAUCCUUUUCAUCUCUAGUGGGCUGAGUCAAGUGCACACUUUUCUAAACUCAGAUAAUGUCACUCAAGACUUCCUCACUUAAGGACAUGGAAAAUCCAGCUCAGAGCCUGCUUACUAGGAAAUUUGAGGCCCACAUAUAAGAUUCUCUUACCAUUUUGUUCUUUUUUGCUUGGCCACUUAUUCAUUAUGCAGAAUGUAAUCUGGAUCCUGUUCUGCAUAAUGAAUAAAAUCUUAGGUGGAUCUCUAUUCCUUUGGAUUUUUGUUCUUUUUUGCUUGGCCUAGAUAUUCUUCUGGUUCAGUUGUUGAAUCUUGCCAUGCAUAUCAAAAAGACAAACUAGUUUAUAUUAUAUGUUACUUGAUUAUUUUCCAGGGAUUGGGGUCCCUAUUUUACUUUCAACAAACAAGACUUGGAUAAAGGGAAUUUGUAAACCUGUCGAAUGUA